Molecule: ribosomal RNA, 545 nt
Filed under: Pezizomycetes sp. genotype 42
Lineage: Eukaryota; Fungi; Ascomycota; Pezizomycetes
Description: eukaryotic LSU rRNA
Rfam family: 5.8S ribosomal RNA (bases 205-358)
Source: RNAcentral
UCCGUAGGUGAACCUGCGGAAGGAUCAUUAAAAGUAAUAAGUGCUCCCGGCGCGUAUUAUGUAACCCAUCUGUGUAUCUUACCUGUUGCUUCCGUGGGUCGUUGGCUUCGGCCACUCCUCAAAUGCGGGGAACCCACGGGAGGUCUACAUCAAACCUUUGCUCUCAAUGAUAUCUGUCUGAAUUGUCUCAAUGAGAAAAGUUAAAACUUUCAACAACGGAUCUCUUGGUUCUCGCAUCGAUGAAGAACGCAGCGAAAUGCGAUAAGUAGUGUGAAUUGCAGAAUUCAGUGAAUCAUCGAAUCUUUGAACGCACAUUGCGCCUCCUGGUAUUCCGGGAGGCAUGCCUGUUCGAGCGUCAUUAAAAACCACUCAAGCGUGUUUGCUUGGACUUGGAGGAAGAGCAGCGCCCUCGUGGCGGGUUCCCCUCUGAAAUAUAAUGGCGGAUGAUCCACGAGGACACGGACGUAGUAAGAGCAAUCUCUCGCCGUGCCCUCUGGAUCAUCCCGCCCUCAAUCCCCAAUCACAAUCAUGGUUGACCUCGGAUC